AGAGUUUGAUCAUGGCUCAGAUUGAACGCUGGCGGCAGGCCUAACACAUGCAAGUCGAGCGGAUGAAGGGAGCUUGCUCCUGGAUUCAGCGGCGGACGGGUGAGUAAUGCCUAGGAAUCUGCCUGGUAGUGGGGGAUAACGUCCGGAAACGGGCGCUAAUACCGCAUACGUCCUGAGGGAGAAAGUGGGGGAUCUUCGGACCUCACGCUAUCAGAUGAGCCUAGGUCGGAUUAGCUAGUUGGUGGGGUAAAGGCCUACCAAGGCGACGAUCCGUAACUGGUCUGAGAGGAUGAUCAGUCACACUGGAACUGAGACACGGUCCAGACUCCUACGGGAGGCAGCAGUGGGGAAUAUUGGACAAUGGGCGAAAGCCUGAUCCAGCCAUGCCGCGUGUGUGAAGAAGGUCUUCGGAUUGUAAAGCACUUUAAGUUGGGAGGAAGGGCAGUAAGUUAAUACCUUGCUGUUUUGACGUUACCAACAGAAUAAGCACCGGCUAACUUCGUGCCAGCAGCCGCGGUAAUACGAAGGGUGCAAGCGUUAAUCGGAAUUACUGGGCGUAAAGCGCGCGUAGGUGGUUCAGCAAGUUGGAUGUGAAAUCCCCGGGCUCAACCUGGGAACUGCAUCCAAAACUACUGAGCUAGAGUACGGUAGAGGGUGGUGGAAUUUCCUGUGUAGCGGUGAAAUGCGUAGAUAUAGGAAGGAACACCAGUGGCGAAGGCGACCACCUGGACUGAUACUGACACUGAGGUGCGAAAGCGUGGGGAGCAAACAGGAUUAGAUACCCUGGUAGUCCACGCCGUAAACGAUGUCGACUAGCCGUUGGGAUCCUUGAGAUCUUAGUGGCGCAGCUAACGCGAUAAGUCGACCGCCUGGGGAGUACGGCCGCAAGGUUAAAACUCAAAUGAAUUGACGGGGGCCCGCACAAGCGGUGGAGCAUGUGGUUUAAAGGGCUACACACGUGCUACAAUGGUCGGUACAAAGGGUUGCCAAGCCGCGAGGUGGAGCUAAUCCCAUAAAACCGAUCGUAGUCCGGAUCGCAGUCUGCAACUCGACUGCGUGAAGUCGGAAUCGCUAGUAAUCGUGAAUCAGAAUGUCACGGUGAAUACGUUCCCGGGCCUUGUACACACCGCCCGUCACACCAUGGGAGUGGGUUGCUCCAGAAGUAGCUAGUCUAACCGCAAGGGGGACGGUUACCACGGAGUGAUUCAUGACUGGGGUGAAGUCGUAACAAGGUAGCCGUAGGGGAACCUGCGGCUGGAUCACCU
RNAcentral lists this ribosomal RNA (1265 nucleotides) under Pseudomonas aeruginosa. RNAcentral's name for it is "16S ribosomal RNA". It matches the Rfam family "Bacterial small subunit ribosomal RNA". Lineage: Bacteria; Pseudomonadati; Pseudomonadota; Gammaproteobacteria; Pseudomonadales; Pseudomonadaceae. The record is from RNAcentral.